GUCUAAGACUCUGACAAGUGAGCGUAAUGGGGUGUUGGUGGCAACACUGACCUGGACUCCACAGGAGAUGGAUCUGUACCGUCGUGUACCUGUGUGUUUCGCAGCAGACACACUUCACAGUCAGUCAGAAAUGAGGUGCAUCAUUGUGGCAGUGGCAAAAUCAAGGGUUCUUUCAGGUGAAGCAAAAGUCAUCUGUGACGAUAACAGCAUCAGCAUUGUUGUCAGUAAAGCCACCAUGGAUGGCAUUGACCAGAACUGGCUCCAACUGCGAGACCCCACCUGUUCCCUUACCUCUAAUGACACCCACAUCUUGGGCACGAUAUCCCUCAACACCUGUGGCACUACCAUUGAUGACUCAGGAGAUUUCAUCGUCUUCAAAAACGAGAUCAACUCCUUCGAGAACCCGAAUGCUGUUAUCACCAGACGCAAUCAAGUCAAAUUCGGCUUCUCCUGCCAGUAUCCCAAAAUGGCCAGUGUCUCCAACCGC
This 487-nucleotide long non-coding RNA is filed under the name Sinocyclocheilus grahami. RNAcentral describes it as "lncRNA (ENSSGRG00000046566.1)". Lineage: Eukaryota; Metazoa; Chordata; Actinopteri; Cypriniformes; Cyprinidae. The record is from RNAcentral.